Molecule: ribosomal RNA, 320 nt
Filed under: Candovia sp. C AC-2020
Lineage: Eukaryota; Metazoa; Arthropoda; Insecta; Phasmatodea; Lonchodidae
Description: partial small subunit ribosomal RNA
Source: RNAcentral
UAUUUUUGAAUUUAAUUUAUUUGUUUUUGGGUGAAAUUUAAAUUUUUAUUAAUUUCUUUUAGAUUCUUUGAAGUUUAUUAUUUAAACUAGGAUUAGAUACCCUAUUAUAUUAUAUGUAAAAUUUUUAACCUGGGUAUUAUUAGUUAUGUUCUUUAAACCUAAAGAAUUUGGCUGUGUUUUAGUCUAUUCAGAGGAAUUUGUCCCUUAAUCGAUAGUCCUCGUUUUAUCUUACUUUAAUUUGUUUUUCAGUAUGUAUAUCGCCGUUAUAAGUUUAUUUUAUUAGGAUAAGAAUUUACUUAAUUCUAUUUAUGAUUUAUUUC